CGUGUCAUGUGACAAUUGUUUGUAGAAAUGAGAUCAAGUCAGGUAUUGCCCUAGUAGAAGGCGGAAGGGAAAACAGUGCAUCUUGGAUAUUGUAGUUCUUGGGUGGCCGAUGCAGGCAUCACAAAUACCCUGGGCAUUGGCAACAACAAGAUACAUCAUAUCAGCAAGCUGGAGGAAAAGAAGAAAACGGUGAUAGGAAUGUGGCCAUUUAAAAGAAGCUCUUCUUGGGGCCUCCGGGUGACUCAGUUGUCAAGCAUCCAACUUCGGCUCAGGUCAUGAUCUCACA
Long non-coding RNA from Suricata suricatta (meerkat), 286 nucleotides. RefSeq lists it as uncharacterized. The transcript has 3 exons. NCBI's taxonomy places the organism in Eukaryota, Metazoa, Chordata, Mammalia, Carnivora, Herpestidae. The record is from RefSeq and is a predicted model, not a curated record.